UACGAAGGGGGCUAGCGUUGCUCGGAAUUACUGGGCGUAAAGCGCACGUAGGCGGCUUUCUAAGUCGGGGGUGAAAUCCUGGAGCUCAACUCCAGAACUGCCUUCGAUACUGGAGAGCUCGAGUCCGGGAGAGGUGAGUGGAACUGCGAGUGUAGAGGUGAAAUUCGUAGAUAUUCGCAAGAACACCAGUGGCGAAGGCGGCUCACUGGCCCGGUACUGACGCUGAGGUGCGAAAGUGUGGGGAGCGAACAGG
RNAcentral lists this ribosomal RNA (253 nucleotides) under uncultured bacterium. RNAcentral's name for it is "partial 16S ribosomal RNA". It matches the Rfam family "Bacterial small subunit ribosomal RNA", at positions 524 to 776 of the family's 1533-position model. The record is from RNAcentral.